AACUUAAAUAGUUUAAGGAAAACGCAAAUUUGUGGAGUUUGAAAUGUACCAAAUGUACUUUAGGUUU
RNAcentral lists this transfer RNA (67 nucleotides) under Neoeriocheir leptognathus. RNAcentral describes it as "tRNA-His". Lineage: Eukaryota; Metazoa; Arthropoda; Malacostraca; Decapoda; Varunidae. The record is from RNAcentral.